Molecule: long non-coding RNA, 225 nt
Organism: Daucus carota subsp. sativus
Lineage: Eukaryota; Viridiplantae; Streptophyta; Magnoliopsida; Apiales; Apiaceae
Exons: 3
Source: RefSeq, a predicted model, not a curated record
CAUCCAAAAACGAUAGAAGCUUUAAUGCGUGCACAAAGUUGGUUGUGGGCUGCUGAAAUGCCAGGUGAGGCAUCCACAGGAUAUGCAACCAUAUAUAAUGAUAUGGAACAGGAAGAUUCAUGCAUUACUCGCGAGGUUUAAGGAGCUAUGAGGACUGAGAACUGAGAAGGGGAGUUUUGUGAUUUUGCCACGAUGAAGAAUCUUUGCUGCUUAAUGUUACCAGGC